This 29-nucleotide non-coding RNA is filed under the name Rattus norvegicus (Norway rat). The record is from RNAcentral. Lineage: Eukaryota; Metazoa; Chordata; Mammalia; Rodentia; Muridae.
UCAUUGGUGAAUGAACGGGCAAAGUCUGA